AACGAACGCUGGCGGCAGGCCUAACACAUGCAAGUCGAACGAAGUCUUCGGACUGAGUGGCGGACGGGUGAGUAACACGUGGGAACCUAUCCUUUGGUGCGGAAUAACAGAGGGAAACUUCUGCUAAUACCGCAUACGCCCUAAGGGGGAAGAUUAUCGCCAAAGGAGGGGCCCGCGUAGGAUUAGCUAGUUGGUGGGGUAAUGGCCUACCAAGGCUGCGAUCCUUAGCUGGUCUGAGAGGAUGAUCAGCCACACUGGGACUGAGACACGGCCCAGACUCCUACGGGAGGCAGCAGUGGGGAAUAUUGGACAAUGGGGGCAACCUGAUCCAGCCAUGCCGCGUGAAUGAAGAA
RNAcentral lists this ribosomal RNA (353 nucleotides) under uncultured Alphaproteobacteria bacterium. RNAcentral's name for it is "bacterial SSU rRNA". It matches the Rfam family "Bacterial small subunit ribosomal RNA", at positions 29 to 412 of the family's 1533-position model. Lineage: Bacteria; Pseudomonadati; Pseudomonadota; Alphaproteobacteria. The record is from RNAcentral.